This 104-nucleotide transfer RNA is filed under the name Rhizoctonia solani. It matches the Rfam family "tRNA". From Rfam's summary of the family: Transfer RNA (tRNA) molecules are approximately 80 nucleotides in length. Their secondary structure includes four short double-helical elements and three loops (D, anti-codon, and T loops). The record is from Rfam by way of RNAcentral. Lineage: Eukaryota; Fungi; Basidiomycota; Agaricomycetes; Cantharellales; Ceratobasidiaceae.
GGCCGCUUGGUCUAGUAGUAUGAUUCCUGUUUUGGGAGUCUUACGUAGCAAAGCUUACGUAAGCCACAUACAGGAGGUCGUGGGUUCAAUUCCCACAGCGGCCC